AGAGAGUUGGCAGAGUGUUAAUGCAUUUAGCUUGAAACUAAAUUUAGGCAGGUUUGAUUCCUGUAUUCUCUU
RNAcentral lists this transfer RNA (72 nucleotides) under Amphipholis squamata. Its description in RNAcentral is "transfer RNA-Ser(UCN)". It matches the Rfam family "tRNA". From Rfam's summary of the family: Transfer RNA (tRNA) molecules are approximately 80 nucleotides in length. Their secondary structure includes four short double-helical elements and three loops (D, anti-codon, and T loops). The record is from RNAcentral. Lineage: Eukaryota; Metazoa; Echinodermata; Ophiuroidea; Amphilepidida; Amphiuridae.